Molecule: non-coding RNA, 3904 nt
Organism: Rattus norvegicus (Norway rat)
Lineage: Eukaryota; Metazoa; Chordata; Mammalia; Rodentia; Muridae
Source: RefSeq, a predicted model, not a curated record
CUCUGUGAUGUCACCAGUGUUGUAGUGACAACCAGUGCCCUAGUUUCUCUCAGUCUGAGUCUGGCGGUUACACCCUAAGACAUGUUUUCCCGUCUUCGCAAGAGUUUUGGGAGGGGGAACAUCGAUUGUGGAGAGACUAGAGUGAAGGAGUCUGGCCUUUCGUCUCAAAGUAAUGAUGGACAAAGACAGCACUUCUGGGGAAUGUGGAGUUCACUUGUGUCCUUCUACCUACAGAGGCUGGGAGAGAAACACCAUCCCCUGGAACUGAGCUAAGCAAGAAGCAGGCCGAGAAGGAAAAUAAGAGGUGGAUUUAAGAGCUGCAGCUCAUUACAGAGGAGCGAAACGACCUGAGAGAUCGCCUGAGGUUUCUGACAGAGAGAUCCAUGAAGAACAGGUAUGAAUCGCUCCAAACGCUCUUGUUCCAUUCCUGGGUGUUCAAUGUCACCUUCAUCUUAUCCUUUUAAGGUUUUGGGUUCUAGAAAGCUGUGUCUCUGUAACGACCCUUUUUUAAACCUCACCUCCCAUAUAGAGGAGAUUCAGAACCUGACCCUUCCUGAGGAGCAAGAUGGAAAAUGGACUCAUCUGCUUCCAUUUAUUGAAAAGCAGGAUUUGUGGUCUGAAUGAAGAAUUCGGGGAUAAAGUCAGGGAGAGUGAGUGCCCAGUGUGUAUUUGCAAAGCCCUUGACAGCUGGUGGCUUUGCAAGAUUGUAAUUGCAGUGAGUUUAUGGUGAGUCUCUGUACGUGCUAGGCAGGGGACUGAGUGCUGGAAGAUCCACACAGCAGCCUGAGGGGCCUGGUCCCAAACUGUUCAUCUCAAUGCUUGACUAGAAGGUCUCAGGCUCAGGCCUGUUUGUUCUUGUCUGUGUGUCUUGCCCUCUGAGACAGCAAUGGUGCAUGCAAUUUCUCCUGGUUGUCACAGUGCUCUCUGUUUCCAUAUUUCUCUUUCUCUUUCUCUGACUCUGUUUACAUUUCUCUUAUUUGUGGCUGUGUCUCAGUCUGUGUAUGUGCAUGUGCACACAUCCAAAUGCAUAGGUACAACAUUUAUAUGUUUAUAUUUCCCUCCAAAUUUGAGUCUAGGGGGUCUAUGUCUUGGCCUGAGUAUUUACCCAUGCUACACUUUCAUGGAGAUGUGAGUGCUUUGUUCUGGGAGCCCCACUGUCAACAGCACAGUUCUUUGACUGUGUGGUCACAUUUGUCUGUACAGUUGUAUCCAUUGGGCAGAUUAUUAUUUUGUGGCCAGAUGUGAUCUCAACUCCAUAAUUAUGUGUAAUGUCUGUCUCUACACUAUUAGUUAUUCAGAAUGAAUAAUUCCUGUUGUCAAAACAGGAAAAAUCAAAUCACAUUUUCUGGGUGUGUAGGGGAGUGCCCGGAAGAGCUGUGGCUGAGGCUUUUGAUAACAUAACUGUCUUGACUCCAGGUCCAGUCCUCUCUAUUGAACAAAGGGAGCCAGGAAACCCUCCAUCUGGAUGCUGAGCUUCCGGUGUCCUGGCCCCAGAAUAACAAGUUUCUGAAGCUGAAGAAGAUCCCAAUAUAUAGAAUUCAGAAGGUGUCCUUCCAGGGCUGGGGUAGUACAGGACCCACCCUGAGUUCAUAUAUUCCUAAAUGCUGAUGUUCAUUGUAUUCUAUCAUUUGGGGCCAGGCCACACUUCAGGCCAAAUCCAUAUUAUGAAGACCUGGAGAGAAUGGAGGAGGCGGUCAUGUCAAUUCUGCACAACUUAGAGAUGGAGAACACUGAGAUCCAUGAGAACAGCCAUAAGCUGAAAAAGGAGAUGACCUUCUCUAGGUCUCAGAAAGUGCAAGACUGCUGGAAUUGGACACGGACCAGGAAGAGGACUCCUGAAGAAUAAGUUGCUUCCUCAGGAGUCCCCUGCUGACAAACAUCCUGACUAUUAACAACAUGUUUUGGAUGAAUAUUCUUCCUCAUAGUUAAUUUGUCAUUGCUUAGAGACCUUAAAUUUAUAUAUCACUAAGCCAGCCUGACUGAUUGAGGUCUUACUCACUUUCUUCUUUAGAAAUCACCACUUGAGAGACAACUUGGGGGACCGCCUUUCAUUAUGCUAGAGGAGAAAGAGCAAUACAUCUGUGCUUCUAAAUGUUCGUUAAGAAUAUGAUGUUUAGAAAUAUUUUGUUAUGAUUUUCAUUGAAGUUUUCUAUUUGUUGUUUCAUAGUUAUAUGCUCUUGUUAUUAUUUUUCAUUUUUAAAUACUUUUAAAUAUUUAUAUUAAUUCGUUUUAAUCCUGUUUUGUUGUAAAUUGUAUUUCUUAUCAAUAAAAAUUGAUUUUAAUCUCUUGACUCUUAAGACCAUCAUUCUUAUUCAAGGGUUCUUUCUGCUCCUGUGGACUUAGAACUGACAGCUGGAGAUGGAUCUCUGCAUGUUCCAGGGAGCCUUGGCUAAAUAGUGAAUUCAAAGCCAGCAAGGGGUACCCAGUGUGAAGUGUCUUCUGUGUGGAUAAUGUGGCUGUCUCUCAGAUGCACACUUUACUAUGUAAUCACUGCCAUACUUUACCCAUACUGUCAUGUGUUCUGCUCACCUUAACAUAUAACAGUCUGCAGCUCACAUUCAUUGUUGACCCUGUGCCCCACAUAUUGAGUAAUAUACACUCAUUGCUGUACAGCUACAGAAAAAUUGACAACAUUCUCAAAGGAAUACAGAAGUCAUCCUAAUGGAGAACCAUGUGCUUCAGCUUUUCUUGCAAUACAGCAUCGAUAUUUACCCCAGAGAUUAUGACCUUCAAUGUCAUGCUGGGAAACAGGUUUUGACAGAUGCUCUUGUUCUUGACCAGAAGUAUGCUGUGUUUUUAUUGAUGUAGAUUAGACUUAGUUUUAUCAUUUAUGUCAAUGGGUCUUUUUUUCUACAGUCUGUCUGUGGCCUGUCCUGGGUGAAUUUCCCUCAUAGUCCAAAGGAAGGAAUCCCAUUCCCCGUUGUAUAUUAUUGUUAGGGACCACGUGGUUCCUCUGAGAGAACAGCCGAUGCUCUAAUCUGUGAGUCCUCACCACAGCUUCUUCAGGUGGCUUUUGUCUUUCCAGGGCAUGUGCUCUAUUAGGUGGACAGGAUCACCUCCAAUUAAAUGGAGAGAUCUCAGGAGAUGUGUGUUCACAGGAAACUUACUGAGCUGUGCCUGCUCAAUGUGCUAGGUUGCCAGGCAUCCCUACAGGGCUCUGGUGUUCCCACUGCUCAUUGUGGGUCAGGAUCAUCCUCCAGCAUCACUUAGUGUCCAUAUUAGAGCAGAUCUUUCACCUAUUAUCAAUGAGGACCAUGUAUAUUAUUCACAUCUGAUAAAAUACAGAAUAGAAACUAACUUGCUGUAGGCCAGCUUGGCAUAAUGAAUUCUUUUGAUUGUUAGCAAGAAACUUAUCUUUAUCUAAGCAGUUUAGGGAGGAACCUCAAGGGCAUCCAUAGUGAAUGCAGCCUACAGCUGUGAACACAGGUUUCUUUUGGAGAGCAGGCCUGUGCAAGCCCAGAACCGAGGUGGGACAGUUCAAGCUACCCUUUUUCCAUGACCAAUCUUGGAUCACAUUAAGACAGUAUUUCUUCCAGGUGAUGGAUUUCCAAUUUAUGGAAUUGAACUAACUUACUGAGAGUGGAGGUGACUUAGAGAGUUAAUGUACAGAAGGAAUAAUCCAGAAUGUCCUCAAAAGCUUGCUGUCACCCCAGGGCUUUUAAAAGCUCAGCACCUAGAGAACUAAUGUAGUCUUUGGUUAUUCUCAAGCUUAGGUCUUCUACUCAUUAUAAGCUGACCAUGACACAAAAAGAGUCAUCUGUGUCACAAUAGAAACUAGUUGUCACUAGAUUAACACCACACUAUCACAUCACUACCGUGUUUGAGGUUCUCAGUUACUAUCUAAGAACCUGGAGGUGGCCUGGGUCUUGCUACACAUACCCAUAAUUUAUGUCCACAUUGUCAG